RNAcentral lists this ribosomal RNA (556 nucleotides) under uncultured euryarchaeote. RNAcentral describes it as "bacterial SSU rRNA". It matches the Rfam family "Archaeal small subunit ribosomal RNA", at positions 343 to 1478 of the family's 1478-position model. Lineage: Archaea; Methanobacteriati; Methanobacteriota. The record is from RNAcentral.
ANUNNUUUUGUCAGAAAACUGUGAUAAGGGAACUCCGAGUGCCCGUAAACGCGGGCUGUCCAUCUGCUUAAAAAACAGGUGAAGAAAGGGCCGGGCAAGACCGGUGCCAGCCGCCGCGGUAAUACCGGCGGCCUCUCCCCGGUGGCCACUAUUACUGGGCUUAAAGCGUCCGUAGCUUGGUUGUUAAGUCUCUUGGGAAAUCUGUCGGCUUAACCCCCAGGCGUUUAAGGGACCAUUUACGGCUAGGGACCGGGAGAGGUGACUCCCUACUCCAGGGGUAGGAGUGAAAUCCUGUAAUCCUUGGGGGACCACCUGUGGCGUAGGCGUCUCACCAGAACGGCUCCGACAGUCUGGGACGAAAGCUGGGGGAGCAAACCGGAUUAGAUACCCAAGUAGUCCCAGCCGUAAACGAUGCGCGUUAGGUGUAUCGGUGACCACGAGUCACCGAGGUGCCGAAGGGAAACCGUGAAACGUGCCGCCUGGGAAGUACGGUCGCAAGGCUGAAACUUAAAGGAAUUCCUAUCAUCGGUAUNGAUGACCACAAGUCUUCNAGGGC